Molecule: long non-coding RNA, 1463 nt
Filed under: Sus scrofa (pig)
Lineage: Eukaryota; Metazoa; Chordata; Mammalia; Artiodactyla; Suidae
Description: lncRNA (ENSSSCG00000056120.1)
Source: RNAcentral
CAAAAAGCACAUGAAAAGAUGCUCAACAUUGCUAAUUAUUACAGAAAUGCAAAUUAAAACUACUAUGAGGUACCAUGUUACACCAGCCAGAAUGGCCAUCAUCAAAAAGUCUAUAAACAAUAAAUGGUGGAGAUUGUGUGGAGAAAAGUGAACCACCUUACACUGCUGGUGGCAAUGUAAGUUGGUACACCCACUAUGGAAAACACUAUGGAGGUUCCUCAAAAAAAUACAGAACUACCACAUGAUCCAACAAUUCCACUCCUGGGAAUAUAUCCAGACAAAACUUUCACUCAAAAAAUAGCAUGCACCCUUAUGUUUAUUACAGCACAAAUCAAAAUAGCCAAGACAUGGAAGAAACCUAAAUGUUCAUCAACAGAGGAAUGAAUAAAGAAAAUGUGGUACAUAUAUACAAUGGAAUAUUACUCAGCCAUAAAAAGAUGAAAUAAUGCCAUCUGCAUCAACUUGGAUGGACCUAGAAAUUAUCAUACUAAAGUGAAGUUAGACAAUGAAAGACAUACAUUAUAUGAUUUCACUUAUAUAAGGCAUCUUUUUAAAAAGGAUACAAACAAACUUAUUUGCAGAAGAGAAACAGACUCACAUACUUUGGAAGCAAACUUAUGAUUACCAAAGGGGACAGGUGGAGGAAGGCAUAGACAGAGGCAGGGGGUAGGGACUGACCCAGGUACAGUGUGGUCUGUGGAAUGACUGGCUAAUGGAGACCUGCUGUAUAGCACAGGGAACUCUAUCCAAUAUUCUGUGAUAAUCUAUAUGGGAAAAUAAUCUUAAAAAGAAUGAAUCUGUGUAUAUGUUUAACUGUAUCAAUUUGUUGUACAACAGAAAUUAUCACAACAUGGUAAAUCAACUAUCCUUCAAUAAAACUUUAAAAAAUGAAAAAGAAAUGUCAAUCAUCAGCCAAUUAACUGCCCCAACCUAACCCCAUCAAAAACCAACAUUAAGCAAAGACCUAAGUAAUUAAACCAAAGUUUUAAAGUGAUUGAGAGUUAUCAUCCAUGACAGACUGAUGGUGAAAUGAUAAAACUUUUUCUAUUUCCUACUGCCAUUCCUUCACUCAGUCAACAUUGAAUUUGUUAUCAAAAACAGAGAUUAGAAAGCUAUGGUUUGCGGGCCAGACACCUGUUUUUACAAUAGUCUUACGGCUGCUUUUGUGAUCUAUUAGCAGAGUUAGUAGGCAACAGAUAUCAUAUGACCUAUAAGCCUAAAAUAUUUACUAUCUGACCCUUUGGGGGGGGGAUGUCAAUCUUUAAAUUCUAAGCAAACGUUUCUGGUUCUGGGUAAGAUGGUCCUGUCUCUUCCAUUGAGUUCAGUUUUAAAACCUGGACUGAAUGCAUGAAGAAUUGGAAGACUCUGAAAAGCAGGGGCAGGUGAGUUGGGAAUAAAGACCACAAUUCAAAUUACUACCAAACCAGUGGUGAGUUUGCCAUUUUCUUCCCUCUGGUUGAAUU